GUGCUAGCUUCGGCAACACAUAUACUAAAACCUGGAACAAUACAGAAAAGAUUAACAUUACCCCUGUGCAAGAAUAAUAUGUAAAUUCGUGAAGCGUUCCAUAUUUUU
Small nuclear RNA from Molossus molossus (Pallas's mastiff bat), 108 nucleotides. The record is from RefSeq and is a predicted model, not a curated record. Lineage: Eukaryota; Metazoa; Chordata; Mammalia; Chiroptera; Molossidae.